This 506-nucleotide ribosomal RNA is filed under the name uncultured bacterium. Its description in RNAcentral is "partial 16S ribosomal RNA". It matches the Rfam family "Bacterial small subunit ribosomal RNA", at positions 28 to 523 of the family's 1533-position model. The record is from RNAcentral.
GAUGAACGCUAGCUACAGGCUUAACACAUGCAAGUCGAGGGGUAACGAGAGGAAAGCUUGCUUUCCUUGUCGACGACCGGCGCACGGGUGAGUAACGCGUAUCCAACCUGCCCCCAACUAGGGAAUAACCUUGCGAAAGUAAGACUAAUACCCUAUAAUUUCCUCAGAUGUCAUCUGACGAGGAACAAAGAUUUAUCGGUUGUGGAUGGGGCUGCGUCUGAUUAGCUUGUUGGCGGGGUAACGGCCCACCAAGGCAACGAUCAGUAGGGGUUCUGAGAGGAAGGUCCCCCACAGUGGAACUGAGACACGGUCCAAACUCCUACGGGAGGCAGCAGUGAGGAAUAUUGGUAAAUGGGCGGAAGCCUGAACCAGCCAAGUAGCGUGCAGGAUGACGGCCCUAUGGGCUGUAAACUGCUUUUAUGCAGGAAUAAAGUUAGCCACGUGUGGUUAUUUGUAGGUACUGUAUGAAUAAGGACCGGCUAAUUCCGUGCCAGCCGCCGCAGUAA